Molecule: ribosomal RNA, 267 nt
Filed under: uncultured bacterium
Lineage: Bacteria
Description: partial 16S ribosomal RNA
Rfam family: Bacterial small subunit ribosomal RNA
Source: RNAcentral
UUUAUCUUAGUGGCGGACGGGUGAGUAACGCGUGGGUAACCUGCCCUGUACAGGGGGAUAACACUUAGAAAUAGGUGCUAAAACCGCAUAAGCGCACAGUACCGCAUGGUACAGUGUGAAAAACUCCGGUGGUACAGGAUGGACCCGCGUCUGAUUAGCUGGUUGGAGGGGUAACGGCCCACCAGGCGACGAUCAGUAGCCGGCCUGAGAGGGUGAACGGCCACAUUGGGACUGAGACACGGCCCAAACUCCUACGGGAGGCAGCAG